This 575-nucleotide ribosomal RNA is filed under the name uncultured bacterium. RNAcentral's name for it is "partial 16S ribosomal RNA". It matches the Rfam family "Bacterial small subunit ribosomal RNA", at positions 355 to 923 of the family's 1533-position model. The record is from RNAcentral.
UGGGGAAUUUUGGACAAUGGGCGAAAGCCUGAUCCAGCAAUGCCGCGUGUGUGAAGAAGGCCUUCGGGUUGUAAAGCACUUUUGUCCGGAAAGAAAUCCUUGGCUCUAAUACAGUCGGGGGAUGACGGUACCGGAAGAAUAAGCACCGGCUAACUACGUGCCAGCAGCCGCGGUAAUACGUAGGGUGCAAGCGUUAAUCGGAAUUACUGGGCGUAAAGCGUGCGCAGGCGGUUUGCUAAGACCGAUGUGAAAUCCCCGGGCUCAACCUGGGAACUGCAUUGGUGACUGGCAGGCUAGAGUAUGGCAGAGGGGGGUAGAAUUCCACGUGUAGCAGUGAAAUGCGUAGAGAUGUGGAGGAAUACCGAUGGCGAAGGCAGCCCCCUGGGCCAAUACUGACGCUCAUGCACGAAAGCGUGGGGAGCAAACAGGAUUAGAUACCCUGGUAGUCCACGCCCUAAACGAUGUCAACUAGUUGUUGGGGAUUCAUUUCCUUAGUAACGUAGCUAACGCGUGGAGUUGACCGCCUGGGGAGUACGGUCGCAAGAUUAAAACUUAAAGGAAUUGACGGGGUCAUA